Long non-coding RNA from Peromyscus eremicus (cactus mouse), 983 nucleotides. RefSeq lists it as uncharacterized. The transcript has 4 exons. The record is from RefSeq and is a predicted model, not a curated record. Lineage: Eukaryota; Metazoa; Chordata; Mammalia; Rodentia; Cricetidae.
ACAGAAGGUGGGGAGUCUUCUAAAUGACUUGUAAUCACAGGACAAGGCUUUCUUCUCAGUUUUACAGUCAUCAUCUGAUAUGCACAUUUUGGGGCAGCGAGAAGGCUCAGUGAGUCAAGGUGCAUGCUGCCAAAACUAAUGACCUGUGUUUAAUCCCCACACGGUGGAAGGACAGAACCGAUCUCUGCAAGUUUCUCCUUGAUUUCCACACAGGAGACUGCACGCACCAAUAACUAAAUGUAUUUCUAUAUGAACCCAGGCUUGCUGUUGUGAUGGCAUUCUUUGAUGUCUCUCUUAUGGCUUCCACGGGGCGUAUUGGUCUCUGUCUGCAAGUAAAACCCUCAUUGCCACACAACAGGACAUUUAGAGUUUCCUAAUUCUUCAAAACCUUCAAUCUUUCAGGAGAGAUCGUUCAAUGUAUGCAAUCAGGAUUUUGGCUCAGGAAUGGAUGGGCUCACAUAUCCCAUUAGUUCUGAAGGAUCUAGGCUGGACUUGCUGAGGAGAAGAUGCUCUUCUUCCAAGGAGGGUCGAGUUGCUGAUUGUUGGCCGAUGAAACAGAAGAAUCUCGACUACAACACGACCUUUGCAAGCAGGGACAUUUAUACACACUGGAGUGCCAUGAAGACCUACUGCUGUGUUUUGCUGCAAAUUAUCUCUCCUAACAUGGUUUGGAACUCAUUUGUUGCCUUGUAGCAAUUACCAUGUCUAUGCUAGGAACUCCCAAGGGCUACAUAAGGCCAAGGUCUCAACUUACAUCCAAGUAAGGACUAGUAUAUUCAGGAAAUAAAAAGAUAUAUGUAGGCCAGCCUAAGAGAAAUAAAUAUAUCCACCCAAAAAUGACAAGUCAUAGAAACUUUUUAUCAAGGCACCUUAAAAAUUGAAAACUCAGAUGUCGUCAUUCCAGAGCAGAAAGAGAGAAUGAAUUAUGGUGUGCUCACAGCAUCAAAAACUAUGCAGUAAUAAAGAAGACUGAACUUUUGGUA